AUGGCUUAUGCAGCAUCUGUUCAGAUUAUGGGAAAAAGAAAUUUAGUGACCCAACUGUGUUGCUUUCUGACCAAUUAUGUUCAGCAAUCACAUACUGUAUGUGAUUCAACCAUAUCGAUGACGGCGCGGUGCGCAACCGCCUUCGGAGCCCAUGAUUCAGACCGUGUGUGCUGCCCGACUUUUGCAUCAAAAAGGUUCAGCAACACAUCUGGUUCAAGAGUAUCAUCAGUUUCGUAUAAUUUUCUUGAAAAAAUUCUGUUGCCAUUUCCGCAAUCUUCUUCUUUUCCUGAACCCAAUCCCCUCUGCAUCUUUUAG
This 315-nucleotide ribosomal RNA is filed under the name Triticum aestivum (bread wheat). Its description in RNAcentral is "partial small subunit ribosomal RNA". Lineage: Eukaryota; Viridiplantae; Streptophyta; Magnoliopsida; Poales; Poaceae. The record is from RNAcentral.